Molecule: ribosomal RNA, 618 nt
Filed under: Escherichia coli
Lineage: Bacteria; Pseudomonadati; Pseudomonadota; Gammaproteobacteria; Enterobacterales; Enterobacteriaceae
Also listed under: 1 other name
Description: bacterial SSU rRNA
Rfam family: Bacterial small subunit ribosomal RNA
Source: RNAcentral
CAGCUUGCUGUUUCGCUGACGAGUGGCGGACGGGUGAGUAAUGUCUGGGAAACUGCCUGAUGGAGGGGGAUAACUACUGGAAACGGUAGCUAAUACCGCAUAACGUCGCAAGACCAAAGAGGGGGACCUUCGGGCCUCUUGCCAUCGGAUGUGCCCAGAUGGGAUUAGCUAGUAGGUGGGGUAACGGCUCACCUAGGCGACGAUCCCUAGCUGGUCUGAGAGGAUGACCAGCCACACUGGAACUGAGACACGGUCCAGACUCCUACGGGAGGCAGCAGUGGGGAAUAUUGCACAAUGGGCGCAAGCCUGAUGCAGCCAUGCCGCGUGUAUGAAGAAGGCCUUCGGGUUGUAAAGUACUUUCAGCGGGGAGGAAGGGAGUAAAGUUAAUACCUUUGCUCAUUGACGUUACCCGCAGAAGAAGCACCGGCUAACUCCGUGCCAGCAGCCGCGGUAAUACGGAGGGUGCAAGCGUUAAUCGGAAUUACUGGGCGUAAAGCGCACGCAGGCGGUUUGUUAAGUCAGAUGUGAAAUCCCCGGGCUCAACCUGGGAACUGCAUCUGAUACUGGCAAGCUUGAGUCUCGUAGAGGGGGGUAGAAUUCCAGGUGUAGCGGUGAAAU